RNAcentral lists this ribosomal RNA (406 nucleotides) under uncultured bacterium. RNAcentral describes it as "bacterial SSU rRNA". It matches the Rfam family "Bacterial small subunit ribosomal RNA", at positions 28 to 432 of the family's 1533-position model. The record is from RNAcentral.
GACGAACGCUGGCGGCGUGCUUAACACAUGCAAGUCGAACGGUGACGAAUGGAGCUUGCUCUGUUCUGAUCAGUGGCGAACGGGUGAGUAACACGUGAGUAACCUGCCCCUGACUCUGGAAUAACUUCGGGAAACCGAAGCUAAUACCGGAUAUGACACAGAGCCGCAUGGUUUCUGUGUGGAAAGUUUUUCGGUGGGGAUGGACUCGCGGCCUAUCAGCUUGUUGGUGAGGUAAUGGCUCACCAAGGCGACGACGGGUAGCCGGCCUGGGAGGCGACCGGCCACACUGGGACUGAGACACGGCCCAGACUCCUACGGGAGGCAGCAGUGGGGAAUAUUGCACAAUGGGCGAAAGCCUGAUGCAGCGACGCCGCGUGAGGGAUGAAGGCCUUCGGGUUGUAAACCG